Pygocentrus nattereri (red-bellied piranha) is the source of this 2683-nucleotide long non-coding RNA. The record is from Ensembl. NCBI's taxonomy places the organism in Eukaryota, Metazoa, Chordata, Actinopteri, Characiformes, Serrasalmidae.
UGUUCAGUUUGUGGACUUAGAAGUACCAAUAAAACUCCACUCUCCGCCCUCCACUCUUCAGGCUGGUAUCUGAGGGAGAGAAUGCAGGAGAUUUCUCUGGACCUGGACUUCCAGGAUCAGGAGCAGAAGAUGUAUGUGGCAGGCGCGCUCAAUAAUCUAUUCAAUAUGAAAGUGUGCAACAACCUAAAAGACCUGCUCACAGGCCCUCCAGUCAGCCCACAGGCCACAACCAUGCAAAGACCAGAAGGACUGAGGAGCAUUAACCAGGAAACCACAAACACGGGGUCUCUUUCAGCUACACGGUUAGCAGAUGCUAGCUCAGCUGAGGAUUAUGAAGACAGGCACAGUGAUAUAUCACAUACUAAAGCCCAUUCCAUUCUCAUCAUCAUCUUCAUGCUCAGUCUGGCUCUGAUCCUGCUGGCCAGCCUGGCACUGUCUGCCUACGUUCUCUAUCUCAUAGCCCAGAGCAAUGAGAAGAUAGAGGACUUCUCCAGGAGCCAGCAGCUGCACAGAAAAUACUUGGAGGAGAUCAGAGAGUGGAAAACCAUCAUUCAGCAGGUCCUUAAUCACUCCACUGCACUGCAGGCAAAGUGAGAGUCUUAUGCUGUUGGUGCCUUUUAGGAUGGCACCUAAUAAAUGCAGCCAGGCCUGCACAGAACAUGCUGGCUGUAGUCUAGCAGAGUCUAUUUGUCAGGAGUGUCUGUGCAUAUCCAUGAAGGAGAUCCUCUCCGGCUUUGCGGUGAGUGAGCAGAUUACCUCACUCUUGUUUGUGUGCACUUUGAAUGCAAAGCUGCCUUGACUUGACACAAUGGGUGCACAUACGUUCAAGUCAGCUUAAUAUACUCAGGUUAGGCUCAAGGUGAGGUGCAGGCUGUCAGUGGCAGUAUAACGAUGUAGGAAUAGAAGGAUUUAAGUUGAGAAAGAGCAAAGCAUGUAUGUCACCUUAUACAAGUAGAAGAGAGUACUGUGGUAUGUACAGUGUGAAAGUCUCAGUAUUCAGUAUGUCGCUGUGGUAUUUCGCAUAAAGCUUCUCUCAGUCUGUAAAUGAUAGAUGAUAUGCUAACAUUCUGUGGUCAAGAUUAGCAGAAAUUGUACACUGUUUACAGUCACUUUUGUCAGCAUAUCUGCUUUGAAAGUGGUUUACCAUGUUGGAAAUAGGAGGCACGAUUGAUAUUAAUUUUAUUAUAGCACUACAGCUUUCUCAGUAAUUUAACAAAAACCUACAAUGUUAUUCUGGAUCUUCCAAAAACAGCUUAUUUUCUUGAAAGUAUCUCAAGAAAAUAAGUGAAAAGUUUCCAAAAGUGGAGUUGAAAAAUGGUAACACUUUGAUAGUCCAUCAUAAAUUCUUUGUAAAUGCUCAGUGUGUCUUUGAAAUUCAACUAAAUAUCUAUUAAAUUAAUAUAAAAUCAAAUGGGAUGGGUUCUAUCAAAUCUAGCCUUAAUCCUAACCCUAACAUUAACCUUAACUUCAACCCAAAAUCUACACCUACUCCUAAACCAAAACUUCACCGUAAUGUUGCUGAUAAUCGCCAUCACCAGAAAGUUUGUCAAUAAUUUCAGUAUGUGUAGAUCAUCUGUAGGGGACCGUCCAAAUAGAGUGUGACCUCCCCAACAGAUAAACAGCACUUAAAGCUUCUAUCUUUGAGAGAGAGAGGAGAAAAUCAUGCUGCUUCAGAUCUGAAUAAUACACAGAUGUUUUAGUCCAUCCUUCCAAAGUGAAAAGGAACUCAACACUAUGAGUCUGAAAGGAUGAGUAGCAAUUUGGGAGCACUCACAGAGAAAAGGAAAUAGACAAAAAAAAGAAGAAAACCUGCAAAUCAAACAAAGAAGCUGCUGGUGUUCUCAGAACAAUGGGUUUGACCACUGAGUCCAGACCUCAACAUCACUGAAUGUGUACUUGGAUUGAGAGAACCAGAAAAUACAACCAACCUCUAAGACCGAACUUUGGUGGUGUGGACAAACAUCCCUACAGGUUUCUGUGAAAAACUGAAAGCAAGUCUCUUGAAAAGAAUGCAAGCUGCAAUGAAGGUAAUGAAGUGUGGAUGCAAUAAACACUGAAAAUGUUUAUAUAUUUAGAUGUUGAGGUCCCUUUGUCAUUCUCUGUUAAACUAUGUUUUCUGCUUUUUGCUGAUAAAAAGUGAAUAACUUGUAGUGAGGGCAAAAAUAUAAUAUCACAAUAUUUCAAAGAUUUUCACCAUACACGAGAUGUCAUGAUAUUUAUUUUUUUUUGACAUCUGAUGAGUUGGAACAGGCAAGAAAAGAACCAAAAAUGCCACAUUGUAAGAACACCAUCAAGGACUACGAGCACAAAUUAUUUCUAUUUAUUGUUUCACAUACUACACUGCACCAAAUCAGGACUGAUUAUGCGCUCUUUGUCAUGAAUCAUGCAACUGGUCAGUCUUCCAGAAAAGCAUAUUGUGACAUAUUGCCAUGUAAUUUAUCUGUUUAACAACCCUCCCUGUUUAUUUGUUUUGUGAGGUUUUGGUGAAGUCUUUUCAGUCCUGUGUUUAUAUUUCUGUUCAGUGUAUGUACAAAAUCUACACACAUUUAUAAAUACAUUUGUAUGCAAAAAAAGACAUGGUCAAAUGACAUUUUGUUGUUCUAAUUGAAAAUAAGAUAACACAUCCUUCACAGAGAAGAAACUUACAUACAGUAUAGUCCACAAUUUGCAUUUUUUUGCUGAG